This 468-nucleotide ribosomal RNA is filed under the name uncultured bacterium. RNAcentral describes it as "partial 16S ribosomal RNA". It matches the Rfam family "Bacterial small subunit ribosomal RNA", at positions 28 to 507 of the family's 1533-position model. The record is from RNAcentral.
GACGAACGCUGGCGGCGUGCUUAACACAUGCAAGUCGAACGGAAAGGCCCUGCUUUUGUGGGGUGCUCGAGUGGCGAACGGGUGAGUAACACGUGAGUAACCUGCCCUUGACUUUGGGAUAACUUCAGGCAACUGGGGAUAAUACCGGAUAGGAGCGCCUGCUGCAUGGUGGGGGUUGGAACGUUUCGGCGGGUGGGGAUGGACUCGCGGCUUAUCAGCUUGUUGGUGGGGUAGUGGCUUACCAAGGCUUUGACGGGUAGCCGGCCUGAGAGGGUGACCGGCCACAUUGGGACUGAGAUACGGCCCAGACUCCUACGGGAGGCAGCAGUGGGGAAUAUUGCACAAUGGGCGGAAGCCUGAUGCAGCAACGCCGCGUGCGGGAUGACGGCCUUCGGGUUGUAAACCGCUUUCGCCUGUGACGAAGCGUGAGUGACGGUAAUGGGUAAAGAAGCACCGGCUAACUACGUG